UGCUGUUUGCUCGCGUGCGCGCGCGUGCGCGUGGAAGAGCGAUUUCAAAUCAAAUACAAAGAAGUAACGGCUCCUUUCCUCAAAGAAAGAAACAACUGCUGCGCAAGGUGAGUAAAGGCUCCGAUAUAAAUAUACAGAUUUAUUAUUUGUAUACUGAUUCAUACACUGACACAUUAAACUGUAUGUUUUUUUUUAAUUAAAAUGUUUUGUUUUAACCAUUAAUUUAAUAGCUGCGAUGCUUACGAGUCUAAUGCACUUGUGGGACGAAAUGGAGACUAACGUUACAAACACAAGAAAAUCCAGUAUGACUUCUCUAAAAAUCUCAAAGGAUUCACAGAGCAGCACUAUCAGUUAA
This 355-nucleotide long non-coding RNA is filed under the name Carassius auratus (goldfish). RNAcentral's name for it is "lncRNA (ENSCARG00000000684.1)". The record is from RNAcentral. Lineage: Eukaryota; Metazoa; Chordata; Actinopteri; Cypriniformes; Cyprinidae.